CCCUUAGAUGUUCUGGGCCGCACACGCGCUACACUGAAGGAGGCAGCGUGUACUCCUGGAUCGAAAGAUUUGGGUAACCCGCGAAUCUCCUUCGUGCUAGGGAUUGAGGUUUGCAAUUAUCCUUCAUGAACGAGGAAUUCCCAGUAAGUGCAAGUCAUAAGCUUGCGCUGACUACGUCCCUGCCCUUUGUACACACCGCCCGUCGCAACUACCGAUUGAAUGAUUUAGUGAGGACUUCGGACUGGGACCGAUGCGGCUUUCGGGCUGCGUCGGUAUUCUGGAAAGAUGUCCAAACUGUAUCAUUUAGAGGAAGUAAAAGUCGUAACA
Molecule: ribosomal RNA, 327 nt
Filed under: uncultured eukaryote
Lineage: Eukaryota
Description: partial 18S ribosomal RNA
Rfam family: Eukaryotic small subunit ribosomal RNA
Source: RNAcentral